This is a long non-coding RNA of Rhinichthys klamathensis goyatoka, 170 nucleotides long. RefSeq lists it as uncharacterized. The transcript has 2 exons. Lineage: Eukaryota; Metazoa; Chordata; Actinopteri; Cypriniformes; Leuciscidae. The record is from RefSeq and is a predicted model, not a curated record.
UGAUGUAGACCUGUAGUUUGGGGUUAGAGGUUAUUUCCUGUACAGAAGUAAGGAAGCUGACAGAAUGUGAGCACAUGUAAUCCAUUUGUUGUUAGCACUAGAGGCAAUGUCUUUUCACUCUGUCAUGUAAGAUGAUGUUGAAGCCACAGUAAACAGCAAGAAAUCGCUCA